CCAAAAACCGACACAGGUGGACGGGAUGAAUAUUCCAAGGCGCUUGAGAGAACUCAGGAGAAGGAACUCGGCAAAUUGAUACCGUAACUUCGGGAGAAGGUAUACCCCGGUAGUGUGAAGCGCCUGCGCGCUUAGCAUGAUGGGGUCGCAGAGAAUCGGUGGCUGCGACUGUUUAUUAAAAACACAGCACUCUGCAAAGACGAAAGUCGACGUAUAGGGUGUGACGCCUGCCCGGUGCCGGAAGGUUAAGUGAUGGGGUGCAAGCUCUUGAUCGAAGCCCCGGUAAACGGCGGCCGUAACAAUAACGGUCCUAAGGUAGCGAAAUUCCUUGUCGGGUAAGUUCCGACCUGCACGAAUGGCGUAACGAUGGCCACACUGUCUCCUCCUGAGACUCAGCGAAGUUGAAGUGUUUGUGAUGAUGCAAUCUACCCGCGGCUAGACGGAAAGACCCCAUGAACCUUUACUGUAGCUUUGCAUUGAUCUGUGAACCGGCCUGUGUAGGAUAGGUGGGAGGCUUUGAAGCGUAGUCGCUAGAUUACGUGGAGCCAUCCUUGAAAUACCACCCUGGUUUGUUUGCGGUUCUAACCUUGGUCCGUUAUCCGGAUCGGGGACAGUGCAUGGUGGGCAGUUUGACUGGGGCGGUCUCCUCCCAAAGUGUAACGGAGGAGUUCGAAGGUACGCUAGGUACGGUCGGAAAUCGUGCUGAUAGUGCAAUGGCAUAAGCGUGCUUGACUGUGAGACUGACAAGUCGAACAGGUGCGAAAGCAGGACAUAGUGAUCCGGUGGUUCUGAAUGGAAGGGCCAUCGCUCAACGGAUAAAAGGUACUCUGGGGAUAACAGGCUGAUACCGCCCAAGAGUUCAUAUCGACGGCGGUGUUUGGCACCUCGAUGUCGGCUCAUCUCAUCCUGGGGCUGUAGCCGGUCCCAAGGGUAUGGCUGUUCGCCAUUUAAAGAGGUACGUGAGCUGGGUUUAAAACGUCGUGAGACAGUUUGGUCCCUAUCUGCCGUGGGCGUUGGAUACUUGACGGAGCCUGCUCCUAGUACGAGAGGACCGGAGUGGACGUACCUCUGGUGUACCGGUUGUCAUGCCAAUGGCAUUGCCGGGUAGCUAAGUACGGAAGAGAUAACCGCUGAAGGCAUCUAAGCGGGAAACUCGUCUGAAGAUUAGGUAUCCCGGGGACUUGAUCCCCCUAAAGAGUCGUUCGAGACCAGGACGUUGAUAGGUCGGGUGUGGAAGCGCAGUAAUGCGUUAAGCUAACCGAUACUAAUUGCUCGUGAGGCUUGAUCAA
Molecule: ribosomal RNA, 1289 nt
Filed under: metagenome
Description: bacterial LSU rRNA
Rfam family: Bacterial large subunit ribosomal RNA
Source: RNAcentral